CUGAUUCUAGCGGGUGCGCUCUCUUUGUGAGGAAACAAAGGCAAUUAAUCACACAGGCUGCCAAGUCUUGCCUUUGGCUGGCUGUGGAAUUGGCUCCCAGGACCUCACCGGGGGCUGGGAGCCCCAGUGAGUGACUCCAUGGCGUGCGUGUGCUUCAGGAGCGCUCCAGUAAUUGCCAGCCUCUGGGCGUCGUCUUGUUCCUACAGAACAGGUCCCCAAGUAUCUUGAAACUAGGCCUUUGUUCAUUUUAAACAGAGGCCCUCACUCCCGCCUCUCUCCGCUUGGCCCUCUGGAUCUCAGGAUAGAGCUGGGGCAGGAGGAGGACCCCAUUUCUCAGAUGUGAUGUUCAGGAGCCUGCACAAUGUCAAAAUUGCUGCAAAAUGGAACCAGAAGUUCAAUGUUCUCCUUUUGCAGCCCUCUGAAACAAUAAACAGAAUGGGAGGAAAAGACAGGAACGGAGUGGAAAAAUCUUCAAAUGGUUGUGUCAGAACAAGAAGGGCAUUCUCUGCCAUGAAAAAUUUGUUGGUGGGUUUUAAAGAUGCUAUUUCUAAAAAUUUAUGGAUGAG
RNAcentral lists this long non-coding RNA (566 nucleotides) under Vulpes vulpes (red fox). RNAcentral describes it as "lncRNA (ENSVVUG00000004181.1)". The record is from RNAcentral. Lineage: Eukaryota; Metazoa; Chordata; Mammalia; Carnivora; Canidae.